GGGCAGGUAGCUCAGUCGGUACGAGCGUCCGCCUGAAAAGCGGAAGGUCGRCGGUUCGACCCCGCCCCUGCCCACCA
Molecule: transfer RNA, 77 nt
Filed under: Frankia sp. CgMI4
Lineage: Bacteria; Bacillati; Actinomycetota; Actinomycetes; Frankiales; Frankiaceae
Description: Frankia sp. CgIM4 tRNA-Phe
Rfam family: tRNA
About the family: Transfer RNA (tRNA) molecules are approximately 80 nucleotides in length. Their secondary structure includes four short double-helical elements and three loops (D, anti-codon, and T loops). Further hydrogen bonds mediate the characteristic L-shaped molecular structure. tRNAs have two regions of fundamental functional importance: the anti-codon, which is responsible for specific mRNA codon recognition, and the 3' end, to which the tRNAs corresponding amino acid is attached (by aminoacyl-tRNA synthetases). tRNAs cope with the degeneracy of the genetic code in two manners: having more than one tRNA (with a specific anti-codon) for a particular amino acid; and 'wobble' base-pairing, i.e. permitting non-standard base-pairing at the 3rd anti-codon position.
Source: RNAcentral